CCAGCAGCCGCGGUAAUUCCAGCUCCAAUAGCGUAUAUUAAAGUUGUUGCAGUUAAAAAGCUCGUAGUUGGAUUUCAAGAGACGUAGCGUGGAUUACACGUCUGCCCUCUACCAGUCUUAGACUGUUACUGUGAGAAAAUUAGAGUGUUUCAAGCAGGCUGUUGCAGGAAUACAUUAGCAUGGAAUAACGAGUGUGUCUAGAAUCUUGGUUAAUUCUAGAUUACGAUUAAGAGGGACAGUCGGGGGCAUUCGUAUUUCAUUGUCAGAGGUGAAAUUCUUGGAUUUAUGAAAGACGAACUACUGCGAAAGCAUUUGCCAAGGAUGUUUUCAUUAAUCAAGAACGAAAGU
RNAcentral lists this ribosomal RNA (348 nucleotides) under uncultured eukaryote. Its description in RNAcentral is "SSU rRNA". It matches the Rfam family "Eukaryotic small subunit ribosomal RNA", at positions 567 to 990 of the family's 1831-position model. The record is from RNAcentral.